Molecule: ribosomal RNA, 655 nt
Filed under: Salmonella enterica
Lineage: Bacteria; Pseudomonadati; Pseudomonadota; Gammaproteobacteria; Enterobacterales; Enterobacteriaceae
Description: partial 23S ribosomal RNA
Rfam family: Bacterial large subunit ribosomal RNA
Source: RNAcentral
GGGUUGUGAGGUUAAGCGACUAAGCGUACACGGUGGAUGCCCUGGCAGUCAGAGGCGAUGAAGGGCGUGCUAAUCUGCGAUAAGCGCCGGUAAGGUGAUAUGAACCGUUAUAACCGGCGAUACCCGAAUGGGGAAACCCAGUGUGAUUCGUUACACUAUCAUUAACUGAAUCCAUAGGUUAAUGAGGCGAACCGGGGGAACUGAAACAUCUAAGUACCCCGAGGAAAAGAAAUCAACCGAGAUUCCCCCAGUAGCGGCGAGCGAACGGGGAGGAGCCCAGAGCCUGAAUCAGCAUGUGUGUUAGUGGAAGCGUCUGGAAAGGCGCGCGAUACAGGGUGACAGCCCCGUACACAAAAGCGCAUGUGCUGUGAGCUCGAUGAGUAGGGCGGGACACGUGGUAUCCUGUCUGAAUAUGGGGGGACCAUCCUCCAAGGCUAAAUACUCCUGACUGACCGAUAGUGAACCAGUACCGUGAGGGAAAGGCGAAAAGAACCCCGGCGAGGGGAGUGAAAAAGAACCUGAAACCGUGUACGUACAAGCAGUGGGAGCCCCACCACUAAGCCAGUGGUGAACUCCACAUCCGCAUCCUUUGCUGAGGAUACGGUUAACGGAGCGAAAGCGACGUUCAACCGCAAAACAAGCAGAGGGGGCUUAG